This 437-nucleotide ribosomal RNA is filed under the name uncultured bacterium. RNAcentral describes it as "partial 16S ribosomal RNA". It matches the Rfam family "Bacterial small subunit ribosomal RNA", at positions 29 to 507 of the family's 1533-position model. The record is from RNAcentral.
AGCGAACGCUGGCGGCAGGCUUAACACAUGCAAGUCGAGCGGGCAUCCUUGUGGUGUCAGCGGCAGGCGGGUGAGUAACGCGUGGGAGCGUGCCCUUCGGUUCGGAAUAACUCAGGGAAACUUGAGCUAAUACCGGAUACGUGCGAGAGCAGAAAGGUUUAUCUGCCGAAGGAUCGGCCCGCGUCUGAUUAGCUAGUUGGUGAGGUUAUGGCUCACCAAGGCGACGAUCAGUAGCUGGUCUGAGAGGAUGAUCAGCCACACUGGGACUGAGACACGGCCCAGACUCCUACGGGAGGCAGCAGUGGGGAAUAUUGGACAAUGGGGGCAACCCUGAUCCAGCCAUGCCGCGUGAGUGAUGACGGCCUUAGGGUUGUAAAGCUCUUUUCUCCGGGACGAUAAUGACGGUACCGGAGGAAUAAGCCCCGGCUAACUUCGUG